AUAUCAGUCAUGCAUAGCAUAUCAAUAAGCGGAGGAAAAGAAACUAACAAGGAUUCCCCUAGUAACGGCGAGUGAAGCGGGAAGAGCUCAAAUUUGAAAUCUUAAAGGGUUUCCCUUUACGAAUUGUAGUUUAAAGAAGUGUUUUCUGUUGGAGUUUCGGUAAAAGUUCUUUGGAAUAGGACAUCAUAGAGGGUGAGAAUCCCGUAUUUGACCGUUACUUUCCAGCUGUGUGAUACACUUUCAAAGAGUCGGAUUGUUUGGGAAUGCAGUCCAAAAUGGGUGGUAAAUUUCAUCUAAAGCUAAAUAUUGGCGAGGACCGAUAGCGAACAAGUACCGUGAGGGAAAGAUGAAAAGAACUUUGAAAAGAGAGUUAAACAGUACGUGAAAUUGUCAAAAGGGAAGCGUUUGACACCAGUGUUGUUUUUCCGAAAAUCAAUUAAGAAUGCGGAUUUUGUUUUAAGUAUUGACUUUAUCAGGCUUUGCUUCCUUUUUUCCUGUAACUUUCUUAAUGCACUUUUCGGUUAACAAGUCAACAUCAAUUUCUUUUGUUGUAAAAGGGUAUGAGGAAGGUGGCUUUCUUUUCGGAGAAGUGUUUAUAGCCUUGUGCCUCUGCAAUCGGAGAGAUUGAGGUCUGCAGCGUAGAUCCUUCGGGGUUAGAUACAGUUUGUGCUAAGUUAUAGCUUUUCAUAGACAACUUGUUGACUAUGUUUAGUCUUGUAGCUUACUCGCUGAUGCUAUUUUACCUACGCUUAGGAUGUUGAUCUCUCACAGUCGAGC
Molecule: ribosomal RNA, 777 nt
Filed under: uncultured Neocallimastigales
Lineage: Eukaryota; Fungi; Neocallimastigomycota; Neocallimastigomycetes; Neocallimastigales
Description: partial large subunit ribosomal RNA
Rfam family: Eukaryotic large subunit ribosomal RNA
Source: RNAcentral